Molecule: ribosomal RNA, 80 nt
Filed under: Sphingobium fuliginis
Lineage: Bacteria; Pseudomonadati; Pseudomonadota; Alphaproteobacteria; Sphingomonadales; Sphingobiaceae
Source: RNAcentral
UGGUGACCAUAGCGUCUGUGACCCACCCGAUCCCUUCCCGAACUCGGACGUGAAACCAGUCUGCGCCGAUGGUACUGUGG